AGUUUGAUCAUGGCUCAGAAUGAACGCUGGCGGCGCGCCUAAUACAUGCAAGUCGAGCGAGAAGACGUAGCAAUACGUUUGUAAAGCGGCGAACGGGUGAGGAAUACAUGGGUAACCUACCCUUGAGUGGGGAAUAACUAGCCGAAAGGUUAGCUAAUACCGCGUACGCUUCUUGGACUUCGGUUCAGGGAGGAAAGCGCUACCGUGGGUAGCGCGCUCUUGGAUGGGCUCAUGUCCUAUCAGCUUGUUGGUGAGGUAACGGCUCACCAAGGCUUCGACGGGUAGCUGGUCUGAGAGGACGAUCAGCCACACUGGCACUGCGACACGGGCCAGACUCCUACGGGAGGCAGCAGUAAGGAAUAUUGCGCAAUGGGCGAAAGCCUGACGCAGCGACGCCGCGUGGGGGAUGAAGGUCUUCGGAUUGUAAACCCCUUUCGGGAGGGAAGAUGGAAUGGGGUAACCCAUUCGGACGGUACCUCCAGAAGCAGCCACGGCUAACUUCGUGCCAGCAGCCGCGGUAAUACGAAGGUGGCAAGCGUUAUUCGGAUUUACUGGGCGUACAGGGAGCGUAGGCGGUUCGGUAAGCCCUUUGUGAAAUCUCCAGGCUUAACCUGGAAAAGUCGGAGGGGACUGCCGGGCUAGAGGACGGGAGAGGAGCGCGGAAUUCCCGGUGUAGCGGUGAA
This 683-nucleotide ribosomal RNA is filed under the name uncultured bacterium. Its description in RNAcentral is "bacterial SSU rRNA". It matches the Rfam family "Bacterial small subunit ribosomal RNA", at positions 10 to 685 of the family's 1533-position model. The record is from RNAcentral.